RNAcentral lists this ribosomal RNA (449 nucleotides) under uncultured bacterium. RNAcentral describes it as "partial 16S ribosomal RNA". It matches the Rfam family "Bacterial small subunit ribosomal RNA", at positions 29 to 523 of the family's 1533-position model. The record is from RNAcentral.
AGCGAACGCUGGCGGCAGGCCUAACACAUGCAAGUCGAACGGACCCUUCGGGGUUAGUGGCGGACGGGUGAGUAAUACGUGGGAACGUGCCUUUAGGUUCGGAAUAGCUCCUGGAAACGGGUGGUAAUGCCGAAUGUGCCCUUCGGGGGAAAGAUUUAUCGCCUUUAGAGCGGCCCGCGUCUGAUUAGCUAGUUGGUGAGGUAAUGGCUCACCAAGGCGACGAUCAGUAGCUGGUCUGAGAGGAUGACCAGCCACAUUGGGACUGAGACACGGCCCAAACUCCUACGGGAGGCAGCAGUGGGGAAUCUUGCGCAAUGGGCGAAAGCCUGACGCAGCCAUGCCGCGUGGAUGAUGAAGGUCUUAGGAUUGUAAAAUCCUUUCACCGGUGAAGAUAAUGACUGUAGCCGGAGAAGAAGCCCCGGCUAACUUCGUGCCAGCAGCCGCGGUAA